This 389-nucleotide ribosomal RNA is filed under the name Ehrlichia canis. RNAcentral describes it as "bacterial SSU rRNA". It matches the Rfam family "Bacterial small subunit ribosomal RNA", at positions 64 to 483 of the family's 1533-position model. The record is from RNAcentral. Lineage: Bacteria; Pseudomonadati; Pseudomonadota; Alphaproteobacteria; Rickettsiales; Anaplasmataceae.
CAAUUAUUUAUAGCCUCUGGCUAUAGGAAAUUGUUAGUGGCAGACGGGUGAGUAAUGCGUAGGAAUCUACCUAGUAGUACGGGAUAGCCAUUAGAAAUGGUGGGUAAUACUGUAUAAUCCCCGAGGGGGAAAGAUUUAUCGCUAUUAGAUGAGCCUACGUUAGAUUAGCUAGUUGGUGAGGUAAUGGCUUACCAAGGCUAUGAUCUAUAGCUGGUCUGAGAGGACGAUCAGCCACACUGGAACUGAGAUACGGUCCAGACUCCUACGGGAGGCAGCAGUGGGGAAUAUUGGACAAUGGGCGAAAGCCUGAUCCAGCUAUGCCGCGUGAGUGAAGAAGGCCUUCGGGUUGUAAAACUCUUUCAAUAGGGAAGAUAAUGACGGUACCUAUA